GAUGAACGCUAGCUACAGGCUUAACACAUGCAAGUCGAGGGGCAGCAUGACGAUAGCUUGCUAUUGUCGAUGGCGACCGGCGCACGGGUGAGUAACGCGUAUCCAACCUUCCCAUAGCUAGGGAAUAACCUUGCGAAAGUAAGACUAAUGCCCUAUGUUGUUCUUUGCGGACAUCUAAAGAGAACGAAAGAUUUAUCGGCUAUGGAUGGGGAUGCGUCUGAUUAGGUUGUUGGCGGGGUAACGGCCCACCAAGCCUACGAUCAGUAGGGGUUCUGAGAGGAAGGUCCCCCACAUUGGAACUGAGACACGGUCCAAAACUCCUACGGGAGGCAGCAGUGAGGAAUAUUGGUCAAUGGACGGAAGUCUGAACCAGCCAAGUAGCGUGCAGGACGACGGCCCUAUGGGUUGUAAACUGCUUUUAUAUGGGGAUAAAGUUAGUCUCGUGAGACUUUUUGCAUGUACCUUAUGAAUAAGGACCGGCUAAUUCCGUGCCAGCAGCCG
RNAcentral lists this ribosomal RNA (501 nucleotides) under uncultured bacterium. RNAcentral describes it as "bacterial SSU rRNA". It matches the Rfam family "Bacterial small subunit ribosomal RNA", at positions 28 to 517 of the family's 1533-position model. The record is from RNAcentral.